RNAcentral lists this long non-coding RNA (461 nucleotides) under Olea europaea (common olive). RNAcentral describes it as "long non-coding RNA (OEUR_LNC003324)". Lineage: Eukaryota; Viridiplantae; Streptophyta; Magnoliopsida; Lamiales; Oleaceae. The record is from RNAcentral.
AAUUAUAGCUUAAAAUGUUAAAAGCAAUUUCAUGUAUCAAUCUUCUUCCAAUGACCUGAUUUUAUUGUCAUUGGACCUAAUUAAAUCCUAAUAUUAUUUAAUUAAAAUUGAAAAAAUUACAUUCUAUCAUAAAACCAAAAGAAUUAAAAAGAAUUUUAAAUCGAAUAAAAAAUUAUUUAUAAUAUGAAGAAAAAAGAAAUUUUAAAAUAAUUUUAGAAAAAAAAGACAAAUUAAACAAAAGAAAGUUAGAAAAUUAAAUAAAGAAUAUUUAAAUAUUAUUUAAUUAAAAUUGAAAAAAUUAAGUUUUAUCAUAAAGAGAAAAGAAUUAAAAAAAAUUAAUCGUGAGAGCAAAAAUGACAUCGUGUUGUUUUCAAUCAUUUUUCCAUUUUCACAUGCAACUUCACUGCAACAAUCACCUCAACUGCAAUAUUUCUCCAUUUUCACAUGCUCUUCACUUCAUC